This 384-nucleotide long non-coding RNA is filed under the name Elaeis guineensis (African oil palm). RNAcentral describes it as "long non-coding RNA (EGUI_LNC046249)". The record is from RNAcentral. Lineage: Eukaryota; Viridiplantae; Streptophyta; Magnoliopsida; Arecales; Arecaceae.
CAGCUAUUAUCAUCUGUCUUUCCGGUGCAUGACUUCGAACUUUUUUCUUCAUUGGCCGGUGUUUGGGAUCAACAGCCAGACGGUGUUCCAUAACCUCGGCAUCGAUCUCUGGCAUGUCCGUCGGAACCCAAGCAAAAACAUCUGCACUCUUUUGUAGGAAAUCAAUAAGUUGUGUCCGCACCUCUUUUCCCAAGCUAGAGCCGAUCUUCACCAUGUGCUCUUCAUUCCCAUCAUUCAAAGGAAUUGAGACAAGAUCUUCCAUUGGCCCACCCCGUUCUUCAGUCAGGUCGUCACGGGUGUCCAAUCCAUCAAGCGGACAGGGGUCAGGCUGACCACUUCUUUGCAGGGCUAUAUUAUAGCAAUGCCUUGCCAGGGCUUGAUCUC